AUGAACAUGAGAUUCGGCCAUGAGGCAGCGGCGGCGGAGGGGCGCACCCCUGCCUGGCUAGGGCCGUUGCUAGGUGCAGAGUUCUUCAAGCCGUGCGCCACUCACCCCUACCUUGUGAAGUACGAGUGCAACCAUUACUGCCUCGACUGCGCGGGAGAGGAUGACGCCAUCUGCUGCACCCAGUGCGUCUUCGCCCAUCGCAACCACCACAUCGUCCAGAUUCGAAAGUCGUCAUACCGUGAAGUGAUACGAGUUGCAGAGUUGAAGGAAGUGGCGGACAUCUCGCAGGUGCAGACGUACGUCAUCAACUACAACCGGGUGGUGUUCCUGAACCGGCGGCCACAGGCACCGCAACACGGUGUCAAGUGCGUCGGCCCUGCCGGCGCGUGCCUGGAAUGCGGUCAGGGACUCGUGGACGCCAACUUCCUCUUUUGCUCGCUGAGCUGUAAGCUUGAUGGAAUGGUGUCUGAUCCCAAUCUAACUUUCAUUGUUGAUCCAAGAUGUAACCGGGAAGACCCGGUCCUAGAAAUAGAAGAAGAAGAUGAAGGCAGCGAUGGACUACCAGGGUCUAGCAAUCGUCUGCCGGGAUGGAUUAGCUACCGCCGCCGACCCCGGAAGGGCAUCCCUGAACGGGCACCCUUCUACUGA
RNAcentral lists this ribosomal RNA (648 nucleotides) under Triticum aestivum (bread wheat). Its description in RNAcentral is "partial small subunit ribosomal RNA". Lineage: Eukaryota; Viridiplantae; Streptophyta; Magnoliopsida; Poales; Poaceae. The record is from RNAcentral.